CCCACGAGGCCCUAAAAAGAGAACACAGGGCCGUCCUCUGUCCUUCUGAAAGCUUUGGGUGACUGUUGAAAACCUAGCUUACCGUCUGGAAGAGAAGCUACCCCGGAACAUGAGCUCCCUGAGAGCCAGGCCGCUCCGUAGCGAUCACCGCCAUAUCCCAGUGCCUGGAACGGUGCCUGGAACAGCGCCUGGCACCUGGAAUCUUUCAUCUGUUGGACGGUGCAGGAAGGGGAGGGACAACCCAG
Neomonachus schauinslandi (Hawaiian monk seal) is the source of this 245-nucleotide long non-coding RNA. RefSeq lists it as uncharacterized. Lineage: Eukaryota; Metazoa; Chordata; Mammalia; Carnivora; Phocidae. The record is from RefSeq and is a predicted model, not a curated record. The transcript has 3 exons.